CCAGAUGGCCGGGCAGUCGCUGUAUCGGCGUCACAGCAGGUAUGGAGGAAAGUCCGGGCUCCACAGGAAGACGGUGCCGGCUAACGGCCGGCGGGGGCAACCCUAGGGAAAGUGCCACAGAAACAAAACCGUCCGCCGGGUUUCUCUUUAUGAGAAUCUGCGGAUAAGGGUGAAACGGUGCGGUAAGAGCGCACCGCAGCCUUGGCAACAAGACUGGUCAUGGUAAACCCCACCGGGAGCAAGACCGAAUAGGAGUGGCAAGCCUUACGGCCAUGAGUUUCCUGCUCAGUCACUCGGGUUGGUCGCGUGAGGCAAGUUGCAAAACCUGCCCUAGAGGAAUGACUGCCCCAAUUUUAUAAUCAAAAUUGGACAGAACCCGGCUUACAGGCCAUCUGGUAUA
Molecule: RNase P RNA, 400 nt
Filed under: Saccharibacter sp. 17.LH.SD
Lineage: Bacteria; Pseudomonadati; Pseudomonadota; Alphaproteobacteria; Acetobacterales; Acetobacteraceae
Description: Bacterial RNase P class A
Rfam family: Bacterial RNase P class A
About the family: Ribonuclease P (RNase P) is a ubiquitous endoribonuclease, found in archaea, bacteria and eukarya as well as chloroplasts and mitochondria. Its best characterised activity is the generation of mature 5'-ends of tRNAs by cleaving the 5'-leader elements of precursor-tRNAs.
Source: Rfam by way of RNAcentral